CUACGGGGCGCAGCAGUGAGGAAUAUUGGUCAAUGGGCGCAAGCCUGAACCAGCCAUCCCGCGUGGAGGAAGACGGCCCUAUGGGUUGUAAACUCCUUUUAUAAGGGAAGAAUAUACGUAUCGUGAUAUGUUUUGACGGUACCUUAUGAAUAAGCAUCGGCUAACUCCGUGCCAGCAGCCGACGGUAAUACGGAGGAUGCAAGCGUUAUCCGGAUUCAUUGGGUUUAAAGGGUGCGCAGGCGGGCAAAUAAGUCAGUGGUGAAAUCUUACGGCUCAACCGUGAAACUGCCAUUGAUACUGUUAGUCUUGAGUACGGCUGAGGUAGGCGGAAUGUGUAAUGUAGCGGUGAAAUGCUUAGAUAUGACCCAGAACACCGAUUGCGUAGGCAGCUUGCUAGACUGUCACUGACGCUGAUGCACGAAAGCGUGGGUAGCGAACAGGAUUAAAUACCCCAGUAGUC
This 460-nucleotide ribosomal RNA is filed under the name uncultured bacterium. Its description in RNAcentral is "partial 16S ribosomal RNA". It matches the Rfam family "Bacterial small subunit ribosomal RNA", at positions 339 to 795 of the family's 1533-position model. The record is from RNAcentral.